Molecule: ribosomal RNA, 405 nt
Filed under: uncultured bacterium
Lineage: Bacteria
Description: partial 16S ribosomal RNA
Rfam family: Bacterial small subunit ribosomal RNA
Source: RNAcentral
AUUGAACGCUAGCGGGAUGCUUUACACAUGCAAGUCGAACGAGUGGCGGACGGGUGAGUAAUAUAUCGGAAUGUGCCCAGUAGCGGGGGAUAACUACUCGAAAGAGUGGCUAAUACCGCAUACUAUUGAUGCGGCCGAUAGCGGUUUAGCUAGUUGGUGGGGUAAAGGGUCACCAAGGCAACGAUGCGUAGCUGGUUUGAGAGGACGACAAGCCACACUGGGACUGAGACACGGCCAAGACUCCUACGGGAGGCAGGAGUGGGGAAUUUUGGACAAUGGGGGAAACCCUGAUCCAGCCAUCCCGCGUGUAUGAGAAGGCCUUCGGGUUGUAAAGUACUUUUGGCAGAGAAGCGGUAUCUGCAGAAUAAGCACCGGCUAACUACGUGCCAGCCGCCGCGGUAAUAC